UCAAGUGAAGAAGCGCAUACGGUGGAUGCCUUGGCAGUCAGAGGCGAUGAAAGACGUGGUAGCCUGCGAAAAGCUUCGGGGAGUCGGCAAACAGACUUUGAUCCGGAGAUGUCUGAAUGGGGGAACCCAGCCAUCAUAAGAUGGUUAUCUUGUACUGAAUACAUAGGUGCAAGAGGCGAACCAGGGGAACUGAAACAUCUAAGUACCCUGAGGAAAAGAAAUCAACCGAGAUUCCCUUAGUAGUGGCGAGCGAACGGGGACUAGCCCUUAAGUGGCUUUGAGAUUAGCGGAACGUUCUGGAAAGUACGGCCAUAGUGGGUGAUAGCCCUGUACGCGAAAAUCUCUUAGUCAUGAAAUCGAGUAGGACGGAGCACGAGAAACUUUGUCUGAAUAUGGGGGGACCAUCCUCCAAGGCUAAAUACUACUGACUGACCGAUAGUGAACUAGUACCGUGAGGGAAAGGCGAAAAGAACCCCGGAGAGGGGAGUGAAAUAGAUCCUGAAACCGUAUGCGUACAAGCAGUGGGAGCCCACUUUGUUGGGUGACUGCGUACCUUUUGUAUAAUGGGUCAGCGACUUAUUUUCAGUGGCGAGCUUAACCGAAUAGGGGAGGCGUAGCGAAAGCGAGUCUUAAUAGGGCGUCUAGUCGCUGGGAAUAGACCCGAAACCGGGCGAUCUAUCCAUGGGCAGGUUGAAGGUUGGGUAACACUAACUGGAGGACCGAACCGACUACCGUUGAAAAGUUAGCGGAUGACCUGUGGAUCGGAGUGAAAGGCUAAUCAAGCUCGGAGAUAGCUGGUUCUCCUCGAAAGCUAUUUAGGUAGCGCCUCAUGUAUCACUGUAGGGGGUAGAGCACUGUUUCGGCUAGGGGGUCAUCCCGACUUACCAAACCGAUGCAAACUCCGAAUACCUACAAGUGCCGAGCAUGGGAGACACACGGCGGGUGCUAACGUCCGUCGUGAAAAGGGAAACAACCCAGACCGUCAGCUAAGGUCCCAAAGUUAUGGUUAAGUGGGAAACGAUGUGGGAAGGCUUAGACAGCUAGGAGGUUGGCUUAGAAGCAGCCACCCUUUAAAGAAAGCGUAAUAGCUCACUAGUCGAGUCGGCCUGCGCGGAAGAUGUAACGGGGCUCAAACCAUACACCGAAGCUACGGGUAUCACGUAAGUGAUGCGGUAGAGGAGCGUUCUGUAAGCCUGUGAAGGUGAGUUGAGAAGCUUGCUGGAGGUAUCAGAAGUGCGAAUGCUGACAUGAGUAACGACAAUGGGUGUGAAAAACACCCACGCCGAAAGACCAAGGUUUCCUGCGCAACGUUAAUCGACGCAGGGUUAGUCGGUCCCUAAGGCGAGGCUGAAAAGCGUAGUCGAUGGAAAACAGGUUAAUAUUCCUGUACUUCUGGUUAUUGCGAUGGAGGGACGGAGAAGGCUAGGCCAGCUUGGCGUUGGUUGUCCAAGUUUAAGGUGGUAGGCUGAGAUCUUAGGUAAAUCCGGGAUCUUAAGGCCGAGAGCUGAUGACGAGCUAACUUUUAGUUAGCGAAGUGGUUGAUGCCAUGCUUCCAAGAAAAGCUUCUAAGCUUCAGGUAACCAGGAACCGUACCCCAAACCGACACAGGUGGUUGGGUAGAGAAUACCAAGGCGCUUGAGAGAACUCGGGUGAAGGAACUAGGCAAAAUGGCACCGUAACUUCGGGAGAAGGUGCGCCGGUGAGGGUGAAGGACUUGCUCCGUAAGCUCAUGCCGGUCGAAGAUACCAGGCCGCUGCGACUGUUUAUUAAAAACACAGCACUCUGCAAACACGAAAGUGGACGUAUAGGGUGUGACGCCUGCCCGGUGCCGGAAGGUUAAUUGAUGGGGUUAGCUAACGCGAAGCUCUUGAUCGAAGCCCCGGUAAACGGCGGCCGUAACUAUAACGGUCCUAAGGUAGCGAAAUUCCUUGUCGGGUAAGUUCCGACCUGCACGAAUGGCGUAACGAUGGCGGCGCUGUCUCCACCCGAGACUCAGUGAAAUUGAAAUCGCUGUGAAGAUGCAGUGUAUCCGCGGCUAGACGGAAAGACCCCGUGAACCUUUACUAUAGCUUUGCACUGGACUUUGAAUUUGCUUGUGUAGGAUAGGUGGGAGGCUUUGAAGCGUGGACGCCAGUUCGCGUGGAGCCAUCCUUGAAAUACCACCCUGGCAACUUUGAGGUUCUAACUCAGGUCCGUUAUCCGGAUCGAGGACAGUGUAUGGUGGGUAGUUUGACUGGGGCGGUCUCCUCCUAAAGAGUAACGGAGGAGUACGAAGGUGCGCUCAGACCGGUCGGAAAUCGGUCGUAGAGUAUAAAGGCAAAAGCGCGCUUGACUGCGAGACAGACACGUCGAGCAGGUACGAAAGUAGGUCUUAGUGAUCCGGUGGUUCUGUAUGGAAGGGCCAUCGCUCAACGGAUAAAAGGUACUCCGGGGAUAACAGGCUGAUACCGCCCAAGAGUUCAUAUCGACGGCGGUGUUUGGCACCUCGAUGUCGGCUCAUCACAUCCUGGGGCUGAAGCCGGUCCCAAGGGUAUGGCUGUUCGCCAUUUAAAGUGGUACGCGAGCUGGGUUUAGAACGUCGUGAGACAGUUCGGUCCCUAUCUGCCGUGGACGUUUGAGAUUUGAGAGGGGCUGCUCCUAGUACGAGAGGACCGGAGUGGACGAACCUCUGGUGUUCCGGUUGUCACGCCAGUGGCAUUGCCGGGUAGCUAUGUUCGGAAUAGAUAACCGCUGAAAGCAUCUAAGCGGGAAACUAGCCUCAAGAUGAGAUCUCACUGGAACCUUGAGUUCCCUGAAGGGCCGUCGAAGACUACGACGUUGAUAGGUUGGGUGUGUAAGCGCUGUGAGGCGUUGAGCUAACCAAUACUAAUUGCCCGUGAGGCUUGACCAU
Molecule: ribosomal RNA, 2890 nt
Filed under: Pseudomonas fluorescens
Lineage: Bacteria; Pseudomonadati; Pseudomonadota; Gammaproteobacteria; Pseudomonadales; Pseudomonadaceae
Also listed under: 1 other name
Description: bacterial LSU rRNA
Rfam family: Bacterial large subunit ribosomal RNA
Source: RNAcentral